GGAAGUAAAAGUCGUAACAAAAUCUCCGUUGGUGAACCAGCGGAGGGAUCAUUACAGGACUCGCAAGACUCCUACAACCCUGUGAACUUAACUAUAAGCACGUUGCUUCGGCGGGUGUCUCGGAGGGGGUUCUCCCUCCCCGAGACGCUAAACCCGCCGGCAGCCUACUAUACUCUGUCUCUUUGCGUUGGCAUCUCGAGUACAAUCAAACAAGUUAAAACUUUCAACAACGGAUCUCUUGGUUCUG
Molecule: unclassified non-coding RNA, 247 nt
Filed under: plant metagenome
Description: partial contains small subunit ribosomal RNA, internal transcribed spacer 1, and 5.8S ribosomal RNA
Rfam family: Eukaryotic small subunit ribosomal RNA (bases 1-54)
Source: RNAcentral